GCCAGGCAUGGUGGCGCAUGCCUGUAAUCCCAGCUACUCAGGAGGCUGAGGUAGGAGAAUUGCUGGAACCCGGGAGGCAGAGGUUGCAGUGAGCGGAGAUCGCACCACUGCACUCCAGCCUGGGUGACAGAGCAAGACUCUAUCUCAA
Unclassified non-coding RNA from Pongo abelii (Sumatran orangutan), 148 nucleotides. It matches the Rfam family "Metazoan signal recognition particle RNA". Rfam says of the family: The signal recognition particle (SRP) is a universally conserved ribonucleoprotein. It is involved in the co-translational targeting of proteins to membranes. The record is from Ensembl. NCBI's taxonomy places the organism in Eukaryota, Metazoa, Chordata, Mammalia, Primates, Hominidae.